RNAcentral lists this long non-coding RNA (1647 nucleotides) under Nicotiana tabacum (common tobacco). RNAcentral's name for it is "long non-coding RNA (NTAB_LNC007373)". The record is from RNAcentral. Lineage: Eukaryota; Viridiplantae; Streptophyta; Magnoliopsida; Solanales; Solanaceae.
AAAUGUUCAGUAUUCUUAGAGACUCAUGACUUAAUCUAGUGGGUAUUAUACAUUUUUCAUUCUCAUUUCGGUAUUUUGUGGAGAUUUAUGACUUAGCACUCAGUUUGAAUUUAGCUUUCAGUUAAUAAAUAUGUCAUAAUAUUGUUUUGGGAUUAAUUCAGUCAUCAUGAUUCUUAGUACAACUUAGUUAAAUGUUCCUUUAAUAGAAGGACCUCUGACCAAAGAAGAUAUGGCCAAAAUUGUAGCUUCUGCUUAUAAUCAUGGAACUUAGGACCUCUCUACCAUCUCUCUUACCAUCCCUCAAAAUAUCAUAAACUCCAUUCACAAUACCUUCAUCCCACUCAACCCAAUCAAGGAAGAUAGAAUGAUCUGGGAGUCACCUCAAAUGGAAUCUAUUCCACAAAAUCAGCUUACUCCCUCUUGGUCAACCUUCAACAUCAAAGAGAUGAAAUCAUAAGUAACAAUUACUUAUGGAUCUGGAAAUUAAAAGUCCCUAACAAGAUUCAAUCAUUCUUUUGGCUACUCUUCCAUGAUAGGCUCCCCAUUGGAGCUUUUCUCCAUCAUGUUGGGAUACAAGCAAAUUCCACAUGCAGCUUUUGCAAUCAAGCUACUGAAACAUCAGCACACAUCUUCUUUGAAUGCACAAACUCCAAGCUUUUCUGGCCAGCAAUCUUCUCACAAAGCACAAACAACACCACUAUUAUUUUACCAUCAUUCACAGCUAGGGAUUGGCCAAACACAUGGGCAUCACUCAAGAAAGAGCACUACAACAGCAUCAUCACCUGGAAAGAACUCCUACCUUUCUGCUUUUGGCAAAUCUGGAUCCCAAGGAACAACAAUCUAUUCAACAAUAUAAAGGAGGGGGUGGACACCAAAAGUGCUAUAGCUAAGGCAACUGAAUAUGUAACCAUUAUGAUUAAAUAAAGCACCCAAAAUUCAAAAAAGUAUCUGGGUCAAAUGGGAGCCCCCAAAAAUCAACACUUACAAGCUCAACACUGAUAGAGCUGCAACAGGGAAUUCUGGAAGGGGAGGGCUGGGAGGAGUCUUCAGAAAUGCAAAUGGGAAUUGGGUACUGGGCUACAUGGGAUCCAUCCAGCACACCACCAACACUCAAGCAGAAUUGCUAGCGAUUCUAAAAGGGCUGCAAAUUGCAGAAGAAAGACAGUUAACACCGUUGGAAAUAAACGCUAAUUCAACUGAGGUAAUUAGAAUGCUACUCAACGGGAAUCUUCUUUUUGACUCACUUAUUUCUGAAUGCAGGUCGAUCGUCCAAAGACUAGGCGACGUGGUGGUGAAACACAGCUACAGGGAGACCAACAGAGAUGCUGACCUACUGGCAAAAAGGGCACUAACAAGAACCUUUUUGAAAAUAUUUUAUAACAGCAGUUCCUCCGGUGUUUGUCACUCAUGUUUUUUAGGCAGACAUUGUAGGAAAUGCUUUCCAAAGAUAAAUUAUGGACUGUAAUAUUAUUAACGAUGGCCAGGCAAUAGGUGAUUUGAUAUAUCCACUCACAAACAAUCCGUUUGUAAGCCCUAACGAGUAGAUUUUUGUUAUAUAAUGCAUCCAGUUUAACCAAAAAGAAAAGUUAAAGGUCACUCGAUGUAUUGCUUAGGUCAGGUGCCAAUCACGUCCUACCCCAACUUUAG